GUGUUGUAUGGAAUGAGAAAAGAAUAGUACUCCCAUUGAGAAGAAUGGAAGAGGUCUUAGAGACCUUUCCAACACAUACAUAAUUAAGGCAUUGCCACCCACUCUGUGAUGUCUAGUCAUGUUUUUUU
Small nuclear RNA from Trichosurus vulpecula (common brushtail), 128 nucleotides. The record is from RefSeq and is a predicted model, not a curated record. NCBI's taxonomy places the organism in Eukaryota, Metazoa, Chordata, Mammalia, Diprotodontia, Phalangeridae.